GCGGGUUGUUAGGCGGUAAUGUACUACCUCUUUCCAUUCCGAAUAGAGAUGUAAAAGUUACUUGCGCCGAUGGUACUGCAUGGAUAUGUGGGAGAGUAGGUAGCAGCCUUGU
Molecule: ribosomal RNA, 112 nt
Filed under: Bacteroides sp.
Lineage: Bacteria; Pseudomonadati; Bacteroidota; Bacteroidia; Bacteroidales; Bacteroidaceae
Source: RNAcentral